CGUCGCAUAAAUAGUUCACCCGCCAAUGAUAGCUUACGUGUGCAUCACAACAAUUGAUUAAGCUCUCUAUUAUUCAUCCAGAAUAGAAAAAACGCAAAAGAAAAAUAAAAUAGCAGCGGUGGAAGCAAUUAAGUUAACUUUAAUGCAGUUUAAUGUUCACAGAUCAUUUUUUACCUGCAGUCACGUCUCUUGCUCUCUCUGUCUCUCUCUCUUUAGUCUUCCAUCAUUCUUCAGGAAAGAACAACAUACAAAAAGAUAACUUUUGUUUCUGAAAGAUCAAAGAUGCUGCUUUAAUAUGCACUCGCAUGUCUUUCAGAUGUAUAAGAAAG
This 329-nucleotide long non-coding RNA is filed under the name Brassica napus (rape). RNAcentral's name for it is "long non-coding RNA (BNAP_LNC008919)". The record is from RNAcentral. Lineage: Eukaryota; Viridiplantae; Streptophyta; Magnoliopsida; Brassicales; Brassicaceae.